AACGAACGCUGGCGGCAUGCCUAACACAUGCAAGUCGAACGAGACCUUCGGGUCUAGUGGCGCACGGGUGCGUAACGCGUGGGAACCUGCCCUUAGGUUCGGAAUAACUCCCCGAAAGGGGUGCUAAUACCGGAUAAUGUCUUCGGACCAAAGAUUUAUCGCCUUUGGAUGGGCCCGCGCUGGAUUAGCUAGUUGGUAGGGUAAAAGCCUACCAAGGCGACGAUCCAUAGCUGGUCUGAGAGGAUGAUCAGCCACACUGGGACUGAGACACGGCCCAGACUCCUACGGGAGGCAGCAGUGGGGAAUACUGGACAAUGGGCGAAAGCCUGAUCCAGCAAUGCCGCGUGAGUGAUGAAGGCCUUAGGGUUGUAAAGCUCUUUUACCCGGGAUGAUAAUGACAGUACCGGGAGAAUAAGCUCCGGCUAACUCCGUG
RNAcentral lists this ribosomal RNA (433 nucleotides) under uncultured bacterium. RNAcentral's name for it is "partial 16S ribosomal RNA". It matches the Rfam family "Bacterial small subunit ribosomal RNA", at positions 29 to 507 of the family's 1533-position model. The record is from RNAcentral.